UGGGUUAACGGUUUAACCCGAAAUAACCGAACCGAGGAACCCGAGAAUUUCGGUUUUCGGCAGCAUCCGAUUUCAUGAGAGCAAACCGAUCGGUGAAAUUAGUUUGAGAAUUCGGAAUUCGGUUUUGUUCGGUUCGGUAAUCGGAGCCGAUCGGUUUAACCUAGACCGAGAAUCUGCAGUCCUAUAUAAAGAUAACCAUAAGACAUUAACCUAAUUACUAGGGUUUCUUCUUCGUAUUUGCUCUUUGCGACUGCGCCUCUCUCUUGCGAUAGCGAAAGAGAAAUCUUUCUCUGUUUCUUCAACCUAAUCAAUAAUCUUUAAUUCGUCUCUUCUCAUUCAUCAUCUUCCAAGCUUCUUUCAUUCUCUGUAAUCUCAACCGGUGUUAAGACUAACCCUUUGCUCAGAGAUUCAACCCGCAACCUCGACUUUGUUAGGGUUUUGUAGAUGUCUACAGAGCACAAUGAGAACAUUGAGGAGCCGAUGCUUCAACCUGAAAAUGCUGAAGAUGUUCAAGCAGAGAAGAGGCGUAAAACACCUGCACCUGCUGCUUCUGCUUCUGUUAAUCCACAGAGACCACGUAAGAAGUAUGCUAAUAGAGCAGUAGUUUGGCAACAUUUUCUGCUGCUUCUGCUUUAGUACAAGUGGUCGAGUGUUGGACCCUUAUAGGAGUUCUUUAACUCCUUACAUGAUUGAGGUUUUGCUAUGCACCCAACAGUGGCUAAGGUGUUCAUUUAAAUCUGAAGCACAAGUAGCAAACUUAGUGCAAAUGUUGGAAGAAGUUGAGUUUUUUGAAUCUCUUGAUUCUCAGAAUUCAACUCCAGCUCCUCCAUGAAUCUUCAAAGUAUGACAGGUAGUUAAGGUAGGAAGCUGCACUUUUGUUCUUUUUGACGUGGAUAUGCAGCCUUAACAAUGGACGGGAUAGUACUGACUUUGAAGCUUCUUUUUAUCUACUUUUUGAUGCGAUAAGCAUGCUUUUGUAUAACAAACAACUUUGCUAUGAGUUACUAAUUACUCUAGUGUUUGUAUGGUUCUGUAAUAUGGUGAUUUGAUACAAUGCUAGCUUGCUAGCUUAGCAGCUUCUGUAAUGGUCUGUAAUGGUUAUUUUUUGAUGUAUUGUCUGAUAUUUGUGCUU
Molecule: long non-coding RNA, 1132 nt
Organism: Arabidopsis lyrata subsp. lyrata
Lineage: Eukaryota; Viridiplantae; Streptophyta; Magnoliopsida; Brassicales; Brassicaceae
Exons: 4
Source: RefSeq, a predicted model, not a curated record